AUCCAGCUGACGAGUCCUAAACAGGACGAAACGCGCGUCCUGGAU
This is a non-coding RNA of Schistosoma haematobium, 45 nucleotides long. NCBI's taxonomy places the organism in Eukaryota, Metazoa, Platyhelminthes, Trematoda, Strigeidida, Schistosomatidae. The record is from Rfam.